UCCGUGCCAGCAGCCGCGGUAAUACGGGAGGGUGCGAGCGUUAAUCGGAAUUACUGGGCGUAAAGCGCAUGCAGGUGGUUUUGUUAAGUCAGGAUGUGAAAGCCCGGGGCUCAAACCUCGGAAUAGCAUUUUGAAACUGGCAGACUAGAGUACUGUAGAGGGGGUAGAAUUUCAGGUGUAGCGGUGAAAUGCGUAGAGAUCUGAAGGAAUACCGGUGGCGAAGGCGGCCCCCUGGACAGAUACUGACACUCAGAUGCGAAAAGCGUGGGGAGCAAACAGGAUUAGAUACCCCUGGUAG
This 298-nucleotide ribosomal RNA is filed under the name uncultured bacterium. RNAcentral's name for it is "partial 16S ribosomal RNA". It matches the Rfam family "Bacterial small subunit ribosomal RNA", at positions 502 to 793 of the family's 1533-position model. The record is from RNAcentral.